Molecule: ribosomal RNA, 491 nt
Filed under: uncultured bacterium
Lineage: Bacteria
Description: partial 16S ribosomal RNA
Rfam family: Bacterial small subunit ribosomal RNA
Source: RNAcentral
AGUGAACGCUGGCGGUAGGCCUAACACAUGCAAGUCGAACGGCAGCACAGUAAGAGCUUGCUCUUACGGGUGGCGAGUGGCGGACGGGUGAGGAAUACAUCGGAAUCUACUUUUUCGUGGGGGAUAACGUAGGGAAACUUACGCUAAUACCGCAUAUGAUCUACGGGUGAAAGCAGGGGAUCUUCGGACCUUGCGCGAUUGAAUGAGCCGAUUUCGGAUUAGCUAGUUGGCGGGGUAAAGGCCCACCAAGGCGACGAUCCGUAGCUGGUCUGAGAGGAUGGUCGGCCACACUGGAACUGAGACACGGUCCAGGCUCCUACGGGAGGCAGCAGUGGGGAAUAUUGGACAAUGGGCGCAAGCCUGAUCCAGCCAUACCGCGUGGGUGAAGGAGGCCUUCGGGUUGUAAAGCCCUUUUGUUGGGAAAGAAAAGCAGCAGGUUAAUACCCCGCUGUUCUGACGGUACCCAAAGAAUAAGCACCGGCUAACUUCGU